UGGGGAAUAUUGCACAAUGGAGGGAACUCUGAUGCAGCGACGCCGCGCGAGUGAUGAAGGAAUUCGUUUCGUAAAACUCUGUUCUAUGGGAAGAAAAGGACUGUACCAUAGGAGAAAGCUCCGGCUAAAUACGUGCCAGCAGCCGCGGUAAUACGUAUGGAGCGAGCGUUGUCCGGAAUUAUUGGGCGUAAAGGGUGCGCAGGCGGCUUUACAAGUUGGAUGUGAAAUAUUGUGGCUCAACCACAAACGUGCAUCCAAAACUGCAAAGCUUGAGUUAAGGAGGGGUAAGUGGAAUUCCUGGUGUAGCGGUGGAAUGCGUAGAUAUCAGAAAGAAUACCGGUGGCGGAGGCGACUUACUGGACUUAAACUGACGCUCAGGCACGAAAGCGUGGGGAGCAAACAGG
Molecule: ribosomal RNA, 404 nt
Filed under: Fusobacteriota bacterium
Lineage: Bacteria; Fusobacteriati; Fusobacteriota
Description: Fusobacteria bacterium partial 16S ribosomal RNA
Rfam family: Bacterial small subunit ribosomal RNA
Source: RNAcentral